This 910-nucleotide long non-coding RNA is filed under the name Cyanistes caeruleus (blue tit). RNAcentral's name for it is "lncRNA (ENSCCEG00000006323.1)". Lineage: Eukaryota; Metazoa; Chordata; Aves; Passeriformes; Paridae. The record is from RNAcentral.
CUCUGCUCCUCGUGUCCCCCUCCCCAGCCUGGGCCGGCUGCACCACAAAGGUCAAGUGGCAUCAGCUGCUGUCUCUGGGCCAGCUGAGUCCGUCCUGGGAAGCGAAGAUCCCCACUGGGAAAUGCCUGUAACAGGUGUGGCUCAGGCAGGCUGAAUAAAUUCAUUAAAUAUUCCCCUGCAGCUGAAAUUGAGGGUCUGUGGUGAUUUGGGCGAUGCUGCCAGCCUUGGUGCACAGAGGAUUUGGGUUUGGUUCUGUUUCCUCUGUUGAGUGGAGAAAGUGAUGAGGAGAGACACGAGGGAAAGAGAGGAAGAGCAGCAAGGAAGGAGGUGAGGGAGGGAAGAAUGGCACUGUCUGGUCCUGAAAUAUUGAAUCCAGGAGAUGUAGCAGCACUGACAAAAUACUGCUUUUGUCAACACAGCUCACAUCAUCCGAGCAGCUCGGGGAGCAGCGCCAGCACAGAAACUUUUGCUGGCAUAUGCUGAGCACCUCCGAACACAGCCCUGCAGCAAGGCAAGAGGAUGGGGAAGAGCUGAGGGAAGUUUGGUGUUUCCAUCCCAUUACUGGGUGCAAAUGGGAUUUAGCAGAGAUGCCCAGGGAUUACAGAGCAGAGGGAGAACCUCGGGCACCUCCCAGUCUCCAGCAGUAGCUGAGCAUCACUGAAACCCUUUCCAGAAAUCAUACAAAUCUGUGUAUCACUGCAGGGGAUUCCAGCAGUUGGAAGAGCUGGAGGAGGUGCUGAGCGUGAGAGGUGCCGCACAUAGAACAAACCCCGUUUGAUUUUCAGAGCAGGGCACAGGGAGCAGACGAGCAGAGCUCUUUGUUUGUGAACUAAUCCUGUUGCUGGUAAUAGGAUUAGCAGCAAGAACAGAUGCAAACAAUUCCUGGUACCUCUCUCCCGGGCCCAGAGCU